Molecule: ribosomal RNA, 253 nt
Filed under: uncultured bacterium
Lineage: Bacteria
Description: partial 16S ribosomal RNA
Rfam family: Bacterial small subunit ribosomal RNA
Source: RNAcentral
UACGUAGGUGGCAAGCGUUAUCCGGAUUUACUGGGUGUAAAGGGAGCGUAGACGGCAGAGCAAGUCUGAAGUGAAAGCCCGCGGCCCAACUGCGGGACUGCUUUGGAAACUGCCCGGCUAGAGUGCUGGAGAGGUAAGCGGAAUUCCUAGUGUAGCGGUGAAAUGCGUAGAUAUUAGGAGGAACACCAGUGGCGAAGGCGACUUUCUGGACCGUAACUGACGUUGAGGCACGAAAGUGUGGGGAGCAAACAGG